This 253-nucleotide ribosomal RNA is filed under the name uncultured bacterium. Its description in RNAcentral is "partial 16S ribosomal RNA". It matches the Rfam family "Bacterial small subunit ribosomal RNA", at positions 524 to 776 of the family's 1533-position model. The record is from RNAcentral.
UACGAAGGGGGCUAGCGUUGCUCGGAAUCACUGGGCGUAAAGCGCACGUAGGCGGACUCUUAAGUCGGUGGUGAAAUCCUGGAGCUCAACUCCAGAACUGCCUUUGAUACUGGCGAGCUUGAGUUCGGGAGAGGUGAGUGGAACUGCGAGUGUAGAGGUGAAAUUCGUAGAUAUUCGCAAGAACACCAGUGGCGAAGGCGGCUCACUGGCCCGAUACUGACGCUGAGGUGCGAAAGCGUGGGGAGCAAACAGG